This 796-nucleotide long non-coding RNA is filed under the name Phascolarctos cinereus (koala). RNAcentral's name for it is "lncRNA (ENSPCIG00000027496.2)". The record is from RNAcentral. Lineage: Eukaryota; Metazoa; Chordata; Mammalia; Diprotodontia; Phascolarctidae.
CCAUAACUCCCAGGACUGCAUCAGUUUUCCUUUAGGAAAAAUGAUGUCAACCCAAGUCAUAGUAACUAUGAUCAUAACCACUGCUCUGGUGGUUCAUUACCACUUGGGAAGCACUUUUCUUGCAUUCUAUUUAGAUAAGCAGUCUGGGGCCAUGUCAUUACACAGCAAAGCAGCUAGUCCAAUCAUACUCACAAUUUGGGUCACUUCAUUCUUCAUUUUCCCAGAAUUGGAGAGCUCCACAAGGAGAAAAAUCCUGGUAGUCUGGCUUUUGAAUCUGUCGAUGAUAUACGAUAAAGAUGAAUCUCCUCUUCUUUCAAGGUCCCUCCCUCUCUCUACCCUGCUCCCCAUCUCCGACGCUGAAAUCGCUGAAGACCUUGCUGACAGCCUACAGAGAUCUGGUUUGGCUGCCUCAGUGCGGACACCUUCUUGGAUCUGCCUCCACGGAAUUCCGAGUGACCAAGGGGAAAAGAGAUCCUGUGACUUCAGGAAGAGGAGACCCAGAUAUGUGCUACCAAUGGGAAGGGCUUGAUUCUCUCCUAGAAGAAUUUCCUAAGGUGCUGAGGCUGCUGCUGCCCCAGGAGUUUACUGGAGAGGCUGUGUCAUUCUCAGGUUCCCCUUUGGAGAAGCGAGCAUUCAGGUGUGGAUGAGAAGGAACUGACUGGAUGUCAGGAUGCAGCUAGGGCUAGGGGAGAUAUGUUUUCCCUCAUCCUGUCCAGAAUUAACCCCAGCAAAGCCUGAGCCUAGGGAACAGCUCUGUGAGCAGACUUAAUAACCCCUUGUUAGCCAUCCAGUCCAG